Molecule: long non-coding RNA, 1123 nt
Organism: Aedes albopictus (Asian tiger mosquito)
Lineage: Eukaryota; Metazoa; Arthropoda; Insecta; Diptera; Culicidae
Exons: 3
Source: RefSeq, a predicted model, not a curated record
UAUUUUAAUUUUCGAAAUGAGUAAAUCGUACACACUUCCAUGUAAUUUUUUUAAGUGUGUCAUAUUAAAAAACCAAAACAAGGCGACGACGGUGGUGUUUUUUUGCAGCUAGAUUUUUGGAAUUUGUUACCAAAAUACCUCUGAGAAACAUCCGGACCAGGUCCUGUCGGGUUGCUUUAUCGGCAUGCGAAAUACGGAAACUCCCUGCGCAUCUGCGAUAUUGACACACCGAGAGCGUUGUUCAGAUCCUGGCUAGCCACUUUUGGUUCGAGGAUAAUCGAGUACGAGCAGUUCAUGCCGUGCACCAGCUGCUGGGAAACUAUCGAUUGUUGUCGAAUUUGUCUAACGAGGAGGAGGUUGGGGAUGGAGAGUGCAAGCUUUCGACCGAUGAGUAGGGAUUCCCGGAGCCGUUGCAGAAUGAAGCUUCAAGUCGUGCUGGGGAAGGGACAUUGGCAGAUAAUGUGAAAACGGUCGGUCGGAUCGGGUGAAAGCGACGACAUAAGGAAUUGGGAGGAGGAGGAAACGAUUGAGAACUCGUCGAAGACGAUCGCUGCCAGACGCAGCCAAGGGAAGAACCCAGUCCGAAGGGGUCGUCGAACUACUAGUAGGUACAAAGAUGCUUACAUCCGGCGAAACUUCCUGGAGAUACAUCCCAGGAAAGUGUAAAUAAUCUUUCCGAAGGUGAGUGUUAUUGCGCAUUUCACACCCCACUGAUCUCUUUGGCAAGUGUGUACCUAUACAUAUGAAGGGGUUCGAAGCAAAGGGGUGUAAGUGACGAAAACCCACUUUCGAGUAAAUGAGGUUUAAAGUUUUUCACCAAUUUUCCGUCCCAUACAAAAUGUAUGGUGUUUCAAAGUCAAAAAAAAAGUUCCUGAAAGAUUGAAAUCUGUAGAAUUUUAUGAUAUGCACAGCAUAUGGUCACAAAAUGAUCACUUACACCCCUUUGAUUCUGGGCCCCUCAUAUAUACCGCUCGUUUAUAAGAUUUAUAUUCGAAUCGUAUGAAAGUUCACAGUUCAGUAGUUUCCGAUUCGAUAAAGGGUCAGACAGAAGGACAGAAAUUCAUUUUUAUAUAUAGAAUAGAUCGAGGAAUAGAUAGACAGAUUUAUCGAAUCUUGUAAUAUU